UUUAAAAGCAAAGGAGAUGAAGAAAUUAUGAAAGGAUGCUGAGAAGAAGAAGAAGAAGAAGAAGAGGUGGAACAGGGAUGCUGGGGGGCUAAGAUAGAUGAAGAGAGAGAUGAUGGGAAGCUUGCGAUAUUGAAUAGAGAUUUAUAUUUUGGCGGGCAGUUCACCCAGCUGUUCAUCCUCCCUUUCGGGCUGGUCUAUAACAAAUUGUGUAUCUGAGGAAACCUGGGAGAGGUAAACUCAGGCAACCCGGAUGUUACACUGGCCCUGACUCAAAAUACUUAAUAAAGAAAUCCCACUAAAUAUAGACGAGUCACAAAAAGGUAUUCAUCUUACUGGUGGAUGCUGGGAAAGGUUGAAUCUCAUUGGUGGAUGCUGGGAAAGGUUGAAUCUCAAUGGUGGAUGCUGGGAAAGGUUGAAUCUCACUGGUGGAUGCUGGGAAAGGUUGAAUCUCAAUGGUGGAUGCUGGGAAAGGUUAAAUCUCACUGGUGGAUGCUGGGAAAGGUUGAAUCUCAUUGGUGGAUGCUGGGAAAGGUUGAAUCUCACUGGUGGAUGCUGGGAAAGGUUGAAUCUCACUGGUGGAUGCUGGGAAAGGUUGAAUCUCACUGGUGGAUGCUGGGAAAGGUUGAAUCUCAAUGGUGGAUGCUGGGAAAGGUUGAAUCUCACUGGUGGAUGCUGGGAAAGGUUGAAUCUCAUUGGUGGAUGCUGGGAAAGGUUGAAUCUCAUUGGUGGAUGCUGGGAAAGG
Eriocheir sinensis (Chinese mitten crab) is the source of this 742-nucleotide long non-coding RNA. RefSeq lists it as uncharacterized. Lineage: Eukaryota; Metazoa; Arthropoda; Malacostraca; Decapoda; Varunidae. The record is from RefSeq and is a predicted model, not a curated record. The transcript has 3 exons.